UACGGAGGGUGCAAGCGUUAUCCGGAAUCAUUGGGUUUAAAGGGUCCGUAGGUGGACCUUUAAGUCAGUGGUGAAAUUCUGCGGCUCAACCGCAGGACUGCCAUUGAUACUGAAGGUCUUGAAUUGUUGUGAAGUAGCUGGAAUAUGUGGUGUAGCGGUGAAAUGCAUAGAGAUCACAUAGAACACCGAUUGCGAAGGCAGGCUACUAACAAUUGAUUGACACUGAGGGACGAAAGCGUGGGGAGCGAACAGG
This 253-nucleotide ribosomal RNA is filed under the name uncultured bacterium. RNAcentral's name for it is "partial 16S ribosomal RNA". It matches the Rfam family "Bacterial small subunit ribosomal RNA", at positions 524 to 776 of the family's 1533-position model. The record is from RNAcentral.